This 255-nucleotide ribosomal RNA is filed under the name uncultured bacterium. RNAcentral's name for it is "partial 16S ribosomal RNA". It matches the Rfam family "Bacterial small subunit ribosomal RNA", at positions 524 to 776 of the family's 1533-position model. The record is from RNAcentral.
UACAGAGGCCCCAAGCAUUAUCCGGAAUCACUGGGCGUAAAGGGUGUGCAGGCGGUCGUGUUAGUCCUUCGUGAAAGCUCUCGGACUCAAUCCGGGAAACGCGGUGGAAACGGCACGACUUAGAGGACGCGAGAGGUACAGGGAACUCACGGUGUAGGGGUGAAAUCCGUUGAUAUCAUGGGGAACACCAAAUGCGAAGGCACUGUACUGGCGCGCUCCUGACGCUCAGACACGAAAGCGUGGGAAUCGAAUGGG